This 814-nucleotide ribosomal RNA is filed under the name Dermacoccus sp. RNAcentral's name for it is "bacterial SSU rRNA". It matches the Rfam family "Bacterial small subunit ribosomal RNA", at positions 37 to 859 of the family's 1533-position model. Lineage: Bacteria; Bacillati; Actinomycetota; Actinomycetes; Micrococcales; Dermacoccaceae. The record is from RNAcentral.
UGGCGGCGUGCUUAACACAUGCAAGUCGAACGAUGAUGCUCCAGCUUGCUGGGGUGGAUUAGUGGCGAACGGGUGAGUAACACGUGAGUAACCUGCCCUUCACUUUGGGAUAAGCCUUGGAAACGGGGUCUAAUACCGGGUAUGCACAUACUGUCGCAUGGUGGUGUGUGGAAAGCUUUUGUGGUGGAGGAUGGACUCGCGGCCUAUCAGCUUGAUGGUGGGGUAGUGGCCUACCAUGGCUUUGACGGGUAGCCGGCCUGAGAGGGUGACCGGCCACACUGGGACUGAGACACGGCCCAGACUCCUACGGGAGGCAGCAGUGGGGAAUAUUGCACAAUGGGCGGAAGCCUGAUGCAGCGACGCCGCGUGGGGGAUGAAGGCUUUCGGGUCGUAAACUCCUUUCAGCAGGGACGAAGCUUUUGUGACGGUACCUGCAGAAGAAGCACCGGCUAACUACGUGCCAGCAGCCGCGGUAAUACGUAGGGUGCGAGCGUUGUCCGGAAUUAUUGGGCGUAAAGAGCUUGUAGGCGGUUUGUCGCGUCUGCCGUGAAAGCCCAGGGCUUAACCCUGGGUCUGCGGUGGGUACGGGCAGACUAGAGUGUGGUAGGGGAGACUGGAAUUCCUGGUGUAGCGGUGAAAUGCGCAGAUAUCAGGAGGAACACCGAUGGCGAAGGCAGGUCUCUGGGCCACUACUGACGCUGAGAAGCGAAAGCAUGGGGAGCAAACAGGAUUAGAUACCCUGGUAGUCCAUGCCGUAAACGUUGGGAACUAGGUGUGGGCCUCAUUCCACGAGGUCCGUGCCGUAGCUAACGCA